GACGAACGCUGGCGGCAUGCUUAACACAUGCAAGUCGAACGAGAAUCAAUGGAUCAAGGAUUCGUCCAAGUGAAGUUGAGGACAGUGGCGGACGGGUGAGUAACGCGUGAGGAACCUGCCUUUCAGAGGGGGACAACAGUUGGAAACGACUGCUAAUACCGCAUAACGUAUCGAGAGGGCAUCCUUUUGAUACCAAAGCUUUAUGUGCUGAAAGAUGGUCUCGCGUCUGAUUAGCUAGUUGGUGAGGUAACGGCUCACCAAGGCGACGAUCAGUAGCCGGUCUGAGAGGAUGAACGGCCACAUUGGGACUGAGAUACGGCCCAGACUCCUACGGGAGGCAGCAGUGGGGAAUAUUGGGCAAUGGGGGAAACCCUGACCCAGCAACGCCGCGUGAAGGAAGAAGGCCUUCGGGUUGUAAACUUCUUUUACCAGGGACGAACACAAUGACGGUACCUGGAGAAAAAGCAACGGCUAACUACGUG
RNAcentral lists this ribosomal RNA (482 nucleotides) under uncultured bacterium. RNAcentral's name for it is "bacterial SSU rRNA". It matches the Rfam family "Bacterial small subunit ribosomal RNA", at positions 28 to 507 of the family's 1533-position model. The record is from RNAcentral.